UUAAGUUCAGCGGGUAGUCUCACCCGAUUUGAGGUCAAGGUUCGUGGGUCGAGUGGCAAUCACUCGGCCAUUGUCUUCUAAUGAGACGGUUAGAAGCGGGAUGCGGAUGCGAAACCCAAGACGUAGAAACAUUUUAUCACGUCAAGGAUCAGCAAAGCGGACCCCACUAAUUCAUUUGAGAGGAGCUCACACUUUCGAAA
Molecule: unclassified non-coding RNA, 200 nt
Filed under: Russula sp.
Lineage: Eukaryota; Fungi; Basidiomycota; Agaricomycetes; Russulales; Russulaceae
Description: partial internal transcribed spacer 2
Source: RNAcentral